CUGAGCCCAGCAUAGCACCAGGACUUGCCCAGGAAUUGCAGUCCUCGUGGCCUAGAGUGCCUUUCAAGUUUAUUUAGGAUCCUAGAGUACUUUAACCUAUGGUGGUGGAGCUUGCCAGAGUUCAGUUUCUGUCUGCUGGGAUGGACAAUUCCCCUCUGGCUAGGGCUCAUCUAAAUGUUCCCUCUGUGGGUGCUGGCUGAAUUUUUCCUUGUUUUGUUUUCCACUGUGAUAGGGCAGAAGUGAGAUCCAAUGCAAAGUCCCACAAUCGCUGCGUAGUCCCUCCCCAAGUGCACAGAUUUUCUCUCCAUGCCACAUGGCCACUGCUGGAGGAUGGGUGGGGGGGUGACAUAAGUGAUUCAAGACUGUCUUUCUUACCCCCUUCUGUAUCUCUUUUCUUAAUAUGAUGUUAAAUCCAGGUACUACGAUUACUCCCCUAAUUUUUGGUUCUUAUGAAGGUGCUUUUUUGUGUGGAUAGUUGUUGAAUUUGGUGUUCCUGUUGCGGAGACCAUCGCUGGAGGGUUCUAUUCGGCCGUCUUGCUCCAUCUCCUGAAGCCUGACUUUUUUGAGCAUGCCCUAACACUAAAGGAAGCCAAAAGAUUGAACACCCCUGUCGUAGAUGGUAAUGAGUCCUGGAUGAAAAAGCCUGCACCCAGCUCUCUUCCUGAUACUCUAAGUUGCAGGGAAGGCUGAAGCUUCUAGCAAUGGGAAGGAGGAGGUGGCCUUCAGUAUGGACUGGCAUUCACUGAGAUAUUGCUUGCACCAUCUGCUCUUUGGACAUCACACCUUUAGCCCAGUGUCUUUGUUUCCUCUUUGGUAUCAGAUUAGCAUGUCCAUGUACUCUGUGUAUCCCUCAUCCCAACCAAAAGCUCCUUCAGAUCCACUGGGGCCCUUUAUAUCACUCCCUUGAUAUAUCCAGAAGUAAGGCAAACUUCCCUUCUGUGUGUGUGCAGGAGAGUUAGACAAAUGUGAAAGCCCUCUUUGGCCCCAUCGUCUCCCCUGUUUUGUUGCUGCACCGUGCUGUCUGGACUGUCUUUAAGAGAACCAGCCAGGUGUGCUCAGCCUCCUCCUGUGAUGUAUCUGGAUUUCAUCCUCCAUGGUGAAAGGCAAAAGGCUGUUUAUCUCUUCUCUGGUCUGUGUAUGAAAGCUACAUGAAAAUGAGCAUUGAAAGGGUUAAGUGCACUCUUCAUGCAGAAAGACAAAACUUGUGGAUUUUCUAUUCCAUUGGGUCCAAACAAGAAGAACGGUCUGUUGCUAUUAUUUUAGGAUUCAACUCAAUAGCUGAUAAAUUUGAUUUCUUUCACACUCGGCAAAGACUUGAAACAUUGUAGCCCCAGAAUGGGAAGUCUCUUCUCCGAACUUAUGAACAUGUAACUCUUCAGUUCUCCCUCAACUUUAUUAAGCAUAUUGAGUUUCAAAAGACAUUCCUACUCUCCUUCUUCAAUAUCUUCUCUUUUUAAACGUUACUUUAUUUUUUAAAUGUAUUAUGCAGUUUUUAAGACUUUCAAAAAGGGAUAAGGAAAACCAAACCAAUACCUACGUAUCUAUCAAGCAGCUCAAGAAAUACAACAUUAGGAGCAGUUAAAUCCACUAUUUAUGCUCACUGCCUUCUAGAUAGAGUCUGUUACUUCCCAGAGGUCAAUUCCUGAGAGCCUAGGGACCUGGGCAUUGUCUUUGCCAUCUUUGUGAGGCCCUGGAGAUUCCCUUUAUGUCUCUGGCUUCUAUGUUGUCGAAGUCUAGGUUGACCUCGUGAUUUUUGAGGCUGUGGGUUAGCCUUGCAAUGUCUGGAACUUGGCUAUGGGUUUUGAAUGCUUUUCCUUGGGCCUUGUCGUCAGAUGGAAGCGCACAUAGCUUCCCAUGGCCACCUCUUCCAGGAUGUUCAAUGAGAAGUCCCAAAGCCCCGCAUGAGGAUCAGCCUGAGAGGCCAAGGGAAGCUGACCAAGCUCUCUGAACUUGAAAUGGACUAGACUCAUAAAGGAGGAAGCAGUGCCACUGUUUCCUGGAGCCUCAGCCCCCUAUGGGGACACCUUGUACUGACAGGGUGAGCCGGGCUGAGGCUGGGUUUGAGGGCAGGUCCAGCUGUCCUCUCACUUGGCCUCUUCUGAGCAGGGUUUCUCUUCCAGCCGUGGCACUGUCCUGGCUGGAGAGCUUCAGGGCAGUGUCUGCCCCAUACCCUCAUCUGGGCUCUGAGAUGGCUUCGUGGGUCAUUUUUGGUGAAGGGGGAGCUCAGAAUAUUUGCAUUAUUUUGUGGACAUUGGUCUUGACUAAGAAUAACUAAGAAUUGAAGGCCCAGGGGUCUUAAAGAUAAGAAAAAAAUGCAAAAACUUAAGGAGUCAUUUGCCCUGUUGCUCCUGGAUAUUGCAGCCAAAUAAACACAUUCCCAAAUUUAUUUAUGUUGCAGACCAGUCAUUUUUCCUUAUACAGGAAUCUUAUUAAAGCAAUAAAUCAAUGUUAACCUGGGUUUUAAAUUGGCCCAAUAUGUUUGGAGAAAUUGCUGGUUUAAUUUUCCUCUUUUUCAUUUUUCAAUUAACUAAUUUAGCUUUCCCAGUUGGGAUACCACAAACCUUAACACAUGAAUUUAUCUUGAAACCAGGAGGCCCCAACAUACAUUGCCAGCAAAACAAAAGAGGAAAACCCAACAUUUGUCCUGUCAUGAGACAGCAAAGAAGCACGGGUCCAGAAAAUAUCUAUCUUUGUUGCUGCAAACUACCUAAGCCUAAGCUCUGUGAAGCAGCCUCAACUGCCUGUAGACUCCCCUGAAUACUCUUUCUGAAUUUUCUCCACAUUCACUGUGACUAAAAGUUUCCAGAGCAUCUCUGUUGUAGACUGAAUGUUUAUAUCCCUCCUACUUCCCCAAAACUCAUAUGUUGAAGCCCUGACCCCUGAUGUGACUGUAUUUGGAGACAGGGCCUUUACAGAAGUAAUUAAGGUUAAAUGAGGCUAUAGGAUGGGGCUCUGAUCUAAUAGGAUUGGUGUCCUUAAGAGACACCAGAGAGCUUGUUUACUCUCUGAGUGUACAAGAAGAGGUCGUAUGGGCACACAAUGAGAUGGUGGCCACCUGCGAAGAGAAGAGGCCUCAGAAUGAAACCCACCCUUCUGGCACCUUGAUCUUGGAUUUCCAAUCUCCAGAACUGUGAGAAAAUAAACUUUUGUUCUUCAAGCCAUGCAAUUUCUACUAUUUUGUUACGACAGCCCAAGCUGACUAAACAGUUACCCAGCAAUGUUUUCCCAGGAACACUGUGAAAACUGCUGGUGCCCUGCCAUCCGCCUGGGAGUGCUUAGUACCCCAGCAUACAUGUACAACUGGACGGAUCUCAGCCAAGGGACCUCAUCACCCACCACAGCUUCGCUAUAUUAUAACACAGUCCAAGACUCCAGAGUAUGAAUGGGCCCAGAUAGCAAAGCAAGCUUCUUUCCCACCAACCUCAGAGCAAAAUGUGUAUGUGAGAGUGUGUGUCUGUUGGGGAGGGGAGACUUUUGCAAUGGACCAAUCCUCCAAGUGUCCUCAACUUCAUGGGUGCGUUGUGAUUUGUUCUCCACCCUGAAGCCUGCAACUUGGACUUGUGAGACCUGGCCUUAGGAAAAUACAGGCUCAGUGAAUGCUAAGUUUGUGGGGAAGCUGUUUUGUAGAGUCAAAAGAACACCGGCUUUGGAGUCAGACAAAGCUAGGUUCAAAUUCCAGCUUUUUAGUGCAUUGACCAAAAUAGUAAAAGUAAGGACUCAUUGUCUAAACUAAUAGAGCUGACAAAUCCAGGCAUGUGUUUUGCCUUCAGGAACAGCUACAUCCAGGCACUCAAAAGACAUCAUUGGAAAUCUAUUUCCUUCUCUCUUUCUGCUCCAGUGAUUUCUCUAUUGGCCUCAUUCUGAGGACAGUGCUUCCUCAGCAGCUCCAGACUCACAUGAUGAAUGGAGGAAGAAGGUCUCUGCCAAGAUUUAUAACACAGGUCUUG
Molecule: long non-coding RNA, 3947 nt
Filed under: Homo sapiens (human)
Lineage: Eukaryota; Metazoa; Chordata; Mammalia; Primates; Hominidae
Description: HSALNT0211456
Source: RNAcentral